GAUGAACGCUGGCGGCGUGCCUAAUACAUGCAAGUCGAACUCUUCACUUCGGUGAAGAGUGGCGAACGGGUGCGUAUUACAUAACUAACCUGGCAUCUACAUGGGUAUAACUGCUGGAGACGUCAGCUAAGACCGCAUAGGUGUAGAGAUCGCAUGAACUCUAUUUUAAAAGUUCUACGGGCCUGGUAGAUGAUGGACUUAUGGCGCAUUAGCUUGUUGGUAGGGUAACGGCCUACCAAGGCGACGAUGCGUAGCCGACCUGAGAGGGUGACCGGCCACACUGGGACUGAGACACGGCCCAGACUCCUACGGGAGGCAGCAGUAGGGAAUUUUCGGCAAUGGGGGAAACCCUGACCGAGCAAAGCCGCGUGAAGGAAGAAGUAAUUCGUUAUGUAAACUUCUGUAAUAGAGGAAGAACGGUGGAUAUAGGGAAUGAUAUCCAAGUGACGGUACUAUAUAAGAAAGCCACGGCUAACUACGUG
RNAcentral lists this ribosomal RNA (482 nucleotides) under uncultured bacterium. RNAcentral describes it as "partial 16S ribosomal RNA". It matches the Rfam family "Bacterial small subunit ribosomal RNA", at positions 28 to 507 of the family's 1533-position model. The record is from RNAcentral.